CAACCGAGAUUCCCCCAGUAGCGGCGAGCGAACGGGGAGCAGCCCAGAGCCUGAAUCAGUGUGUGUGUUAGUGGAAGCGUCUGGAAAGGCGUGCGAUACAGGGUGACAGCCCCGUACACAAAAAUGCACAUAUUGUGAGCUCGAUGAGUAGGGCGGGACACGUGGUAUCCUGUCUGAAUAUGGGGGGACCAUCCUCCAAGGCUAAAUACUCCUGACUGACCGAUAGUGAACCAGUACCGUGAGGGAAAGGCGAAAAGAACCCCGGCGAGGGGAGUGAAAAAGAACCUGAAACCGUGUACGUACAAGCAGUGGGAGCACGCUUAGGCGUGUGACUGCGUACCUUUUGUAUAAUGGGUCAGCGACUUAUAUUCUGUAGCAAGGUUAACCGAAUAGGGGAGCCGAAGGGAAACCGAGUCUUAACUGGGCGUUAAGUUGCAGGGUAUAGACCCGAAACCCGGUGAUCUAGCCAUGGGCAGGUUGAAGGUUGGGUAACACUAACUGGAGGACCGAACCGACUAAUGUUGAAAAAUUAGCGGAUGACUUGUGGCUGGGGGUGAAAGGCCAAUCAAACCGGGAGAUAGCUGGUUCUCCCCGAAAGCUAUUUAGGUAGCGCCUCGUGAAUUCAUCUCCGGGGGUAGAGCACUGUUUCGGCAAGGGGGUCAUCCCGACUUACCAACCCGAUGCAAACUGCGAAUACCGGAGAAUGUUAUCACGGGAGACACACGGCGGGUGCUAACGUCCGUCGUGAAGAGGGAAACAACCCAGACCGCCAGCUAAGGUCCCAAAGUCAUGGUUAAGUGGGAAACGAUGUGGGAAGGCCCAGACAGCCAGGAUGUUGGCUUAGAAGCAGCCAUCAUUUAAAGAAAGCGUAAUAGCUCACUGGUCGAGUCGGCCUGCGCGGAAGAUGUAACGGGGCUAAACCAUGCACCGAAGCUGCGGCAGCGACACUAUGUGUUGUUGGGUAGGGGAGCGUUCUGUAAGCCUGUGAAGGUGUACUGUGAGG
RNAcentral lists this ribosomal RNA (1003 nucleotides) under Escherichia coli. RNAcentral describes it as "partial 23S ribosomal RNA". It matches the Rfam family "Bacterial large subunit ribosomal RNA", at positions 226 to 1268 of the family's 2925-position model. The record is from RNAcentral. Lineage: Bacteria; Pseudomonadati; Pseudomonadota; Gammaproteobacteria; Enterobacterales; Enterobacteriaceae.